AUUGAACGCUGGCGGCAGGCCUAACACAUGCAAGUCGAGCGGAUGAAGGGAGCUUGCUCCUGGAUUCAGCGGCGGACGGGUGAGUAAUGCCUAGGAAUCUGCCUGGUAGUGGGGGAUAACGUCCGGAAACGGGCGCUAAUACCGCAUACGUCCUGAGGGAGAAAGUGGGGGAUCUUCGGACCUCACGCUAUCAGAUGAGACUAGGUCGGAUUAGCUAGUUGGUGGGGUAAAGGCCUACCAAGGCGACGAUCCGUAACUGGUCUGAGAGGAUGAUCAGUCACACUGGAACUGAGACACGGUCCAGACUCCUACGGGAGGCAGCAGUAGGGAAUAUUGGACAAUGGGCGAAAGCCUGAUCCAGCCAUGCCGCGUGUGUGAAGAAGGUCUUCGGAUUGUAAAGCACUUUAAGUUGGGAGGAAGAGCAGUAAGUUAAUACCUUGCUGUUUUGACGUUACCAACAGAGUAAGCACCGGCUAACUUCGUG
RNAcentral lists this ribosomal RNA (484 nucleotides) under uncultured bacterium. RNAcentral describes it as "partial 16S ribosomal RNA". It matches the Rfam family "Bacterial small subunit ribosomal RNA", at positions 30 to 507 of the family's 1533-position model. The record is from RNAcentral.